UGCUGUCUCUCUGCGCCUUAAACACAACAGGUCAAGGCCUGCCCUGAGGCCUUGACGCAAUGUCCCCAGGGUCCCCACAUCUGACACAAGUCACUUCUCAGGCAGGCCAGUGUUCCUCGCUCACCCUGUACAGAGCGACACCCGCUCACACUAUGACACGCUAGCAUGUGGACAUGACAUUCACAUACUCUCAAGAGCACACUUCCACAUGACACUCUU
This 219-nucleotide unclassified non-coding RNA is filed under the name uncultured bacterium. RNAcentral describes it as "contains 16S-23S intergenic spacer region". The record is from RNAcentral.